Long non-coding RNA from Hirundo rustica (Barn swallow), 701 nucleotides. RefSeq lists it as uncharacterized. The transcript is spliced from 4 exons. The record is from RefSeq and is a predicted model, not a curated record. NCBI's taxonomy places the organism in Eukaryota, Metazoa, Chordata, Aves, Passeriformes, Hirundinidae.
CAGUGGCAGAGCUCCUUGCUGGACUCCCCUUUAAUAAACCACCUUUAACCCUGCUCAGGAGAGAGUCGACCCUUUGUCCGUCACCGCAGUCUUGACACCAUCAGGUCCAGCCGCCGGUGUGGGGAACCAAGACCCCACAGGGAGGAGGUUGCUCGCCCUGCCUGCAACCCUGACCGAUCCGCGUUAGCCGCAGUGCAGGACUGAGCUAGCCUGUGGUCAGCGCCUGCUAGGCGUGAGGGACACUGUGACAAAUGUUUAUUUAGCAGGGCUUUGAAUCUAAUCUGCCACAAUGCCUUUGUUGGGGCAUUUUGGUCCAGAUGAAUGGACUACCAGCCUGGAGAUGGAGAGUUGGAACAGAUGACCUCCAGAGAACUUUUCUAACCAGAGGCAUAGAAUCAUGUUGUGCUUUCCAGUGGUGACAAGCAGUUCCAUGUUUCUUAAGGUGAUGAUGAGACUGGGCUUGUCAUGAUUUUGAAAAGCUCUUCCUGCCAAACACAAAUUUAAAUAGAAUGGAUUGAAAGAUAGAAGUUUGAAGGGAAUGUAUUUAACAAAUGAAUGAAUAACCAAAUAUAUUCAAAAGAUGUGAUCUCCGAAACCCUAUAAACAGAAAUUUUCCAAUAGGAAGACUUCAACAUUUGAAAGGGAAAACAAUUAAAUCACCUUUAUUUUUCAUCUGAUUCCUCUGUGAAUUUAGCUAGUCC